UUUCCGUAGGUGAACCUGCGGUAGGAUCAUUAUUGUAUAACCGAGGCGCGAGGGCUGUCGCUGACCCGAAAUGUCGUGGACUCCAGAGUGCCCUCACACCCGUCCAUCUCACCCCUCGGUGCACCACCGCGUGCGUCCCCCUUUGGCGUUUUCGGAGGGGGGCUUACGUUGGCACACAAACAUUGUAUUCAGUGUAGAAUGUAUUUCUUAUUGUCGCGAUCACGCAAUCAACACAACUUUCAACAACGGAUCUCUUGGCUCUG
This 263-nucleotide unclassified non-coding RNA is filed under the name plant metagenome. RNAcentral's name for it is "partial contains small subunit ribosomal RNA, internal transcribed spacer 1, and 5.8S ribosomal RNA". The record is from RNAcentral.